This 353-nucleotide long non-coding RNA is filed under the name Helianthus annuus (common sunflower). RNAcentral's name for it is "sRNA HanXRQr2_Chr03g0099061". Lineage: Eukaryota; Viridiplantae; Streptophyta; Magnoliopsida; Asterales; Asteraceae. The record is from RNAcentral.
AUGACUCACCUUUUCUGAAUCCUCUGAUGAUUAAGCAUCCAUUUUGAUUGUAAGUGUACGGGGUAGAGUUUCGAGUAGUUAAAUAUUUAGUUUAACAGAAUGGAAUACGUAUUAGUGUUAAACCUAAUCAAACCUAACGAUGGUCACGAGAUCCGAACCUUAACGAAAUUCACAAAGUAUAGUCUUGUUUAGACAGCACUUUGGCAUUCGUUUAACGAAAUUCACAAAGUACAGUACUUUGGCAUCCGUUUAAUGAAAUUUACAAAGUACAACACUUUGGCAUUCGUUAGUUAGUUCCUGAAUCGAUCGGACAGAAUAUCGCAUCGGUGAUUAUUGGUUAGAACACCAACGUA